AAAAUAAAAUAAAGUAAAAAAAAUGUUUAUAUAUAAACAACCAUAUGUGAAUGUUCAGCUGGGUACCAAAAAAAAAUAAAAAAAAGUAAAAUGUAUAUAUGUAUAUAUGUAUGUAUAUAUGUGCACACGUGUACAGGUACGCACAAUUUAACCAAGCAUGUUUGAUCAAACAAUCACGCUAUGUUUUUAAUUAAAGAAUACGCACAAAAUAUGUACUUAUACAUGUAUAUGUGCAAAAUAUAUACAUUUUUAUUUUGAAAAAAAAGCUAGUAUAAUUUUCAUAAGAAGAAAAAUAUACACAUUGUAUGUAUUAACAUAAAUAAUAGUUAUAAACUAAUUAUAUCUGUGUCUUUCUCGAUCUUGUAAAAAUGUUGUGCUUAAAGUAAAAGUACACAAAUUAUUCACAUAUAUACAUAUAUAUAUUUAUAUAUAUGAGCAAUGUGCAGGAAUAAACUUAAACUUUGCUAUGUUUUGUAUUAUAUACAUAUGGUGCGCAAUUUUAUUUACCACUAUGUAUACGCACGUACGUGUACGUGUAUACGCAAAUCUAAAAAAAUUUUCAACCGACUAUAAAUAAAUGAAUUCUUAAAAAGACUUAUAGAAAAUAUUGUGCUUGUUCAUCAUAUAUAUUAGCAACAAAUUAAGAAAAAAAACGAAAUGUACAAUAGCAAUUUUGUAAACAAUAUUAUAUGUAUAUCUGUACAUACAUACAUAUAUACAUAUAUAUGUACACAUAUAUAUAUAUAUAUACACUAACUCUUUCUUAUUUUAAAUGAAACAUAUCACAUGCGGAGAAGCAUAAAUGUUCACAACGUGACAAAAUAGCAUAUGCUGUUUUAAAAAAAAAAAAUAAAUAAGUAAAAAAAAAAACAAUAAAAAUGGAAGUAUAAAAUAACACAAUUAUAAAAUUUCCACCCUCCAAAUUGUUAUUAUUAUUUUUAUUUUUAUUAUUAUUAUUUUUAUUAUUAUUAUUUUUAUUAUUAUUAUUUUUUUUAUUUAUACCAAUACCGUAUAAAUUUAAAUAAUAAUAGUAUAUGCUAUAUAUGUAUCUUUUUUUUAGUGAAUAUUUGUUUUAAAAGUUAUGCAUUUACAAAAAAAAAAAAAAAAAAAAAAAAAAAAAAAAAAAAAAAAAAUAUAUAUAUAUAUAUAUAUAUAUAUAUAUAUAUAGUAGCUGUAAUUUGAUUUUUGUUUUAUGAUUUCGAAUAUUGUAAUUAUUUAAAAUAAAGUAAAAUAAGUUUAUCGUAAAAUUUGAAAA
RNAcentral lists this long non-coding RNA (1255 nucleotides) under Piliocolobus tephrosceles (Ugandan red Colobus). Its description in RNAcentral is "lncRNA (ENSPTEG00000019017.1)". The record is from RNAcentral. Lineage: Eukaryota; Metazoa; Chordata; Mammalia; Primates; Cercopithecidae.